GACGAGGUCACCGCGGCGAUACUCCAGAACGAGGUUCUCAGGAGGAAGAACCCAGCUUCGAGCUCAGGUGGCGAUAGCUCAGCUUUGAUGGCUUCUGGAGGUGUAUGAGGCGGUAGACGGAGCGACAGGAGAUCGCAACGAGGGCUGUCGAAGUCCAGGAGGGACUUGAGCAAAACCAGGUGUUACCGGUGUGAAGAGUUGGGGCAUCUAGGCAGAGAUUGCCCUCAACUGAAAAAUCGGACGGUGGCUGCUGUAGCGACGGCCGACAGUGAUUUAGAUGGAGAUGUCUUUGAGAUAUCUGACGAGGUAUCUACUUCUUCCCAGCAGUGGAUAUUAGAUUCUGCAUGCCCCUAUCAUAUGUGUUGCAGAGAGGAGCAGUUUGACUCCCUGGAGAACAGUGAGGGCACUGUAUAUCUGCCGGAUGGAUCGAGCUGUGCGAUCAGAGGCAUUGGGACGGUCAGCUGGAGGACACAUGAUAGUGNNN
RNAcentral lists this long non-coding RNA (484 nucleotides) under Elaeis guineensis (African oil palm). Its description in RNAcentral is "long non-coding RNA (EGUI_LNC028030)". Lineage: Eukaryota; Viridiplantae; Streptophyta; Magnoliopsida; Arecales; Arecaceae. The record is from RNAcentral.